Molecule: ribosomal RNA, 490 nt
Filed under: uncultured bacterium
Lineage: Bacteria
Description: partial 16S ribosomal RNA
Rfam family: Bacterial small subunit ribosomal RNA
Source: RNAcentral
AGUGAACGCUGGCGGUAGGCCUAACACAUGCAAGUCGAACGGCAGCACAGGAGAGCUUGCUCUCUAGGUGGCGAGUGGCGGACGGGUGAGGAAUACAUCGGAAUCUGCCCAGUCGUGGGGGAUAACGUAGGGAAACUUACGCUAAUACCGCAUACGACCUUCGGGUGAAAGAGGGGGAUCGCAAGACCUCUCGCGAUUGGAUGAGCCGAUGUCGGAUUAGCUAGUUAGCGGGGUAAUGGCCCACCAAGGCGACGAUCCGUAGCUGGUCUGAGAGGAUGAUCAGCCACACUGGAACUGAGACACGGUCCAGACUCCUACGGGAGGCAGCAGUGGGGAAUAUUGGACAAUGGGCGCAAGCCUGAUCCAGCCAUACCGCGUGGGUGAAGAAGGCCUUCGGGUUGUAAAGCCCUUUUUUUGGGAAAGAAAUCUUUCAGGCUAAUACCCUGGGAGGAUGACGGUACCCAAAGAAUAAGCACCGGCUAACUUCGUG